ACGCCGCGUGAGUGAUGAAGGUUUUCGGAUCGUAAAACUCUGUUGUUAGGGAAGAACAAGUACCGUUCGAAUAGGGCGGUACCUUGACGGUACCUAACCAGAAAGCCACGGCUAACUACGUGCCAGCAGCCGCGGUAAUACGUAGGUGGCAAGCGUUGUCCGGAAUUAUUGGGCGUAAAGCGCGCGCAGGCGGUUUCUUAAGUCUGAUGUGAAAGCCCCCGGCUCAACCGGGGAGGGUCAUUGGAAACUGGGGAACUUGAGUGCAGAAGAGGAGAGUGGAAUUCCACGUGUAGCGGUGAAAUGCGUAGAGAUGUGGAGGAACACCAGUGGCGAAGGCGACUCUCUGGUCUGUAACUGACGCUGAGGCGCGAAAGCGUGGGGAGCGAACAGGAUUAGAUACCCUGGUAGUCCACGCCGUAAACGAUGAGUGCUAAGUGUUAGAGGGUUUCCGCCCUUUAGUGCUGCAGCAAACGCAUUAAGCACUCCG
This 487-nucleotide ribosomal RNA is filed under the name Bacillus licheniformis. RNAcentral's name for it is "bacterial SSU rRNA". It matches the Rfam family "Bacterial small subunit ribosomal RNA", at positions 394 to 871 of the family's 1533-position model. Lineage: Bacteria; Bacillati; Bacillota; Bacilli; Caryophanales; Bacillaceae. The record is from RNAcentral.